UACAGAGGGCUCAAGCGUUGUUCGGAUUCAUUGGGCGUAAAGGGUGCGUAGGUGGCGCGCUAAGUCAGGUGUGAAAUUUCGGAGCUUAACUCCGAAACUGCAUUUGAUACUGGCAUGCUUGAGGACUGGAGAGGAGACUGGAAUUCACGGUGUAGCAGUGAAAUGCGUAGAGAUCGUGAGGAAGACCAGUGGCGAAGGCGGGUCUCUGGACAGUUCCUGACACUGAGGCACGAAGGCCAGGGGAGCAAACGGG
This 253-nucleotide ribosomal RNA is filed under the name uncultured bacterium. Its description in RNAcentral is "partial 16S ribosomal RNA". It matches the Rfam family "Bacterial small subunit ribosomal RNA", at positions 524 to 776 of the family's 1533-position model. The record is from RNAcentral.